This 427-nucleotide unclassified non-coding RNA is filed under the name fungal sp. RNAcentral describes it as "partial internal transcribed spacer region". Lineage: Eukaryota; Fungi. The record is from RNAcentral.
GAGAACCAAGAUAUCCAUUGUUAACAGUUGUUCGGUUAGGGGUGCGUCGGACUUUCGUCGGGCGCGGUAGACAUGCAUCAUGUUCAACCUGAAUGAACUUGGCCCCACAGGGAGGUAACGACCCCCGGUCGAUGGCCGUGUGGACCACCGAUCGUUGACUGCGCUGCCCUUGCACAAUUCACCAAACACUUUCAGAUUGAUGGUUGCUUGGGGGCACCAGGAGUGGAUAGUUGUAAACGCUCGACCCAAUACAGGUGCUACAGGUUUCCGUAGGUGAACCUGCGGAAGGAUCAUUAACACGUAUCCAAACGUUAAAACAACCCUGUGAAUAUUGAAUCUCAGUUCCCCCAGGGCAGAAAAAUGGGCUUCCUCUAGUAAAUCAUAGUCUUACCAAGGUUUUGAGUUAGAGGAUGGCUUGUUACGACUU